RNAcentral lists this ribosomal RNA (252 nucleotides) under uncultured bacterium. RNAcentral's name for it is "partial 16S ribosomal RNA". It matches the Rfam family "Bacterial small subunit ribosomal RNA", at positions 524 to 776 of the family's 1533-position model. The record is from RNAcentral.
UACAGAGGGUGCGAGCGUUAAUCGGAAUUACUGGGCGUAAAGCGUGCGUAGACGGUCAAGUAAGUCGGGUGUGAAAGCCCCGGGCUCAACCUGGGAAUUGCAUUCGAGACUGCGUGGCUAGGGUGCGGAAGAGGGAAGCGGAAUUUCCGGUGUAGCGGUGAAAUGCGUAGAUAUCGGAAGGAACACCAGUGGCGAAAGCGGCUUCCUGGUCCAGCACCGACGUCAGGCACGAAAGCGUGGGGAGCAAACAGG